CUUGUUCUUUAAAUGAGGACUAGUAUCAACGGCAUCACGAGGAUCCUACUGUCUCCCCCCUCUAAUCAGUGAAACUGAUCUCCCCGUGAAGAAGCGGGGAUAUACAUAUAAGACGAGAAGACCCCAUGGAGCUUUAAACCUGACAGCACCCGCUCAUUCUAUACCCCAUUAUUUGCCCGACCCCUGUCUGCUCAGUUUUAGGUUGGGGUGACCACGGAGUAUAAAAUAACCUCCAUGAANAAGGGGAUAUUUCCCUUAUUAGAGAACCACACUUCCAAGAACUAAUAAAUUAAUUUUCAAUGACCCGAUACCCGAUAAUCGAUCAACGAACCAAGUUACCCUGGGGAUAACAGCGCAAUCCACCCUGAAAGCCCUUAUUAACAGGUGGGUUUACGACCUC
Molecule: ribosomal RNA, 400 nt
Filed under: Boophis quasiboehmei
Lineage: Eukaryota; Metazoa; Chordata; Amphibia; Anura; Mantellidae
Description: partial 16S ribosomal RNA
Rfam family: Bacterial large subunit ribosomal RNA
Source: RNAcentral